UCCGCCCGCUGGCGGCGUGCUUAACACAUGCAAGUCGAGCGGUAAGGCUCCUUCGGGAGUACACGAGCGGCGAACGGGUGAGUAACACGUGAGUAAUCUGCCCUUCACUUCGGGAUAACCACCGGAAACGGUGGCUAAUACCGAAUACGACCAGUCUUCGCAUGAGGUGCUGGUGGAAAGUCUUUACGGUGAAGGAUGUGCUCGCGGCCUAUCAGCUUGUUGGUGGGGUAAUGGCCUACCAAGGCUUCGACGGGUAGCCGGGCUGAGAGGGUGACCGGCCACACUGGGACUGAGACACGGCCCAGACUCCUACGGGAGGCAGCAGUGGGGAAUAUUGGACAAUGGGCGAAAGCCUGAUCCAGCAACGCCGCGUGAGGGAUGACGGCCUUCGUGUUGUAAACCUCUUUCAGUACCGACGAAGCGCCCUGUCGGGUGGUGACGGUAGGUACAGAAGGAGGACCGGCCAACUACGUG
RNAcentral lists this ribosomal RNA (474 nucleotides) under uncultured bacterium. RNAcentral describes it as "partial 16S ribosomal RNA". It matches the Rfam family "Bacterial small subunit ribosomal RNA", at positions 34 to 507 of the family's 1533-position model. The record is from RNAcentral.